Molecule: ribosomal RNA, 917 nt
Filed under: uncultured archaeon
Lineage: Archaea
Description: bacterial SSU rRNA
Rfam family: Archaeal small subunit ribosomal RNA
Source: RNAcentral
UCUGGUUGAUCCUGCCAGAGGUUACUGCUAUCGAGGUUCGACUAAGCCAUGCGAGUCGAAUGUAGCAAUACAUGGCGAACUGCUCAGUAACACGUGGACAACCUGCCCUUAGGUUGGGUAUAAACCCGGGAAACUGGGUAUAAUACCCGAUAGGUCUCGAUUGCUGGAAUGCAUCGAGAUUUAAAGCUCCGGCGCCUAAGGAUGGGUCUGCGGCCUAUCAGGUAGUAGUGGGUGUAGCGUACCUACUAGCCUACGACGGGUACGGGUUGUGAGAGCAAGAGCCCGGAGAUGGAUUCUGAGACACGAAUCCAGGCCCUACGGGGUGCAGCAGGCGCGAAAACUUUACAAUGCUGGCAACAGCGAUAAGGGAACCUCGAGUGCCAGGUUACAAAUCUGGCUGUCGAGAUGCCUAAAAAGCAUUUCAUAGCAAGGGCCGGGCAAGACCGGUGCCAGCCGCCGCGGUAACACCGGCGGCUCGAGUGGUAACCGUUAUUAUUGGGUCUAAAGGGUCUGUAGCCGGCCGGAUAAGUCUCUUGAGAAAUCUGGCAGCUUAACUGUCAGGCUUUCAGGAGAUACUGUCUGGCUCGAGGCCGGGAGAGGUGAGAGGUACUUCAGGGGUAGGGGUGAAAUCUUGUAAUCCUUGAAGGACCACCAGUGGCGAAGGCGUCUCACCAGAACGGACCUGACGGCAAGGGACGAAAGCUAGGGGCACGAACCGGAUUAGAUACCCGGGUAGUCCUAGCCGUAAACGAUACUCGCUAGGUGUCGGCCACGGUGCGACCGUUGUCGGUGCCGUAGGGAAGCCGUGAAGCGAGCCACCUGGGAAGUACGGCCGCAAGGCUGAAACUUAAAGGAAUUGGCGGGGGAGCACCACAACGGGUGGAGCUUGCGGUUUAAUUGGGAUUCAACGCCGGGAA